Molecule: ribosomal RNA, 665 nt
Filed under: Nocardia sp.
Lineage: Bacteria; Bacillati; Actinomycetota; Actinomycetes; Mycobacteriales; Nocardiaceae
Description: bacterial SSU rRNA
Rfam family: Bacterial small subunit ribosomal RNA
Source: RNAcentral
GUGAGUAACACGUGGGUGAUCUGCCCUGUACUUCGGGAUAAGCCUGGGAAACUGGGUCUAAUACCGGAUAUGACCCGAGGUUGCAUGACCUCGGGUGGAAAGAUUUAUCGGUACAGGAUGGGCCCGCGGCCUAUCAGCUUGUUGGUGGGGUAAUGGCCUACCAAGGCGACGACGGGUAGCCGGCCUGAGAGGGCGACCGGCCACACUGGGACUGAGACACGGCCCAGACUCCUACGGGAGGCAGCAGUGGGGAAUAUUGCACAAUGGGCGAAAGCCUGAUGCAGCGACGCCGCGUGAGGGAUGACGGCCUUCGGGUUGUAAACCUCUUUCGACAGGGACGAAGCGCAAGUGACGGUACCUGUAGAAGAAGCACCGGCCAACUACGUGCCAGCAGCCGCGGUAAUACGUAGGGUGCGAGCGUUGUCCGGAAUUACUGGGCGUAAAGAGCUUGUAGGCGGUUCGUCGCGUCGUUCGUGAAAACUUGGGGCUCAACCCCAAGCUUGCGGGCGAUACGGGCGGACUAGAGUACUUCAGGGGAGACUGGAAUUCCUGGUGUAGCGGUGAAAUGCGCAGAUAUCAGGAGGAACACCGGUGGCGAAGGCGGGUCUCUGGGAAGUAACUGACGCUGAGAAGCGAAAGCGUGGGUAGCGAACAGGAUUAGAUAC